Molecule: long non-coding RNA, 1729 nt
Filed under: Homo sapiens (human)
Lineage: Eukaryota; Metazoa; Chordata; Mammalia; Primates; Hominidae
Description: HSALNT0174556
Source: RNAcentral
UGACGGGAAAUCUUCCUGGUCUUUCUUACAAUUAACAAUUGCUCACUGCCUGAUUUUGAUUAGCAGUGGCCUGGCUUCUUGUUAGGUACCCAAGAGGCUCUGUGUUCACCUACUUACAGGAUGAUACACAGUUCAGAAGGAACCCAGAAUAAGACAAAGACUUGCCAUUCAGGAAGGUUAAAAAUAUUUGAUGAGAGCUCCUCACCCCUUUUCUGCUGGCAAGAUAUCAAGAGUAACAAUAGCUAAUAUUUAAUGAGCCCCAUAUUUAUUAACCUCAGGUACUGUGCAAAGAGGUAUGUAUACAUCAUCCCACUCAAUGCUAAUGACAACUCAAUGAAACAGUCCCUAUUACAAUUUCUACAUUCAAGUUGAAAAACUGAGGCUUAGAGAGGUUAAAUAAUUUGUCCAAAGUCAAACAUAGCUGUUAAGUGUAGAAACUGGUAUUCGGAAAUACAGAGCAUCCCCUCUUUGGGCCCUGGCUGGGUUCUCCAGAACAGACAGAAGUGGAGUUCCAUCCAACAUUGAGAGAAGUUUCAAAGGGUCAGGGGAAACUGAGCAGUGGGGCACACCUUGUUAAGUCCCAAUCAGGACCGAUGGAAGAAGCAUCUGGUGUUCCUUCUCAUUCAUUGUCUCAUUUCCACAGGGCAAGUGCAAACUGUCUGAGGAGGAAAAAAUUACUUCUAGGAUGAAGCAUUUUACCUCUUUUUCAUUUUCUAAGAUGAUCUCUCAGAUACCUUGCGAAGCCACGCAGAACAAAAGGGAGUCAUUACAUAUUUGGAAAAUGCAUUGGACCUCAUGAUUUGGGAAUGAGCUAUAAGACUGACAGCUGGGACAGCUAAUUUAAGAGUAGAAUUCUUUAGGUCCUGUACCUUAAAGGAAAAGACAGUUUUCAGGAGCUGCCAUUAAGAAUAAUCUGAGGAUGACAAAGACCCUGCCUUCAAUCCUCUAAUUAGCUUGGCUGCUCCUAUUCAUCCUCCACUUCCUGAGGUCAGUGGAGGGAAGCUGUCCAGUGAGAAGGUGGACUUCUGAUUACAUGGAGGAGAAAACGUGAAGGCGCCACUUCCUCGAAGGGCCUGAGGACCACUGACUAUAAGAAGAAAGACUCGCUGGGCAUGGUGGCUCACGCCUGUAAUCCCAGCACUUUGGGAGGCCAACGCAGGUGGAUCACUUGAGGUCAGGAGUUCAAGACCAACCUGGCCAACAUGGUGAAACCCCAUCUCUACUAAAAAUAUAAAAACUAGCCAGGCUUGGUGGUGGGCACCUGUAAUCCCAGCUACUUGGGAGGCUGAGGCAGGAGAAUUGCUUGAACCCAGGAGACGGAGGUUGCAGCCAGCCGACACAGUGCCACUGUACUCCAGCCUUGGUGACAGAGUGAGAAUCUGUCUCAAAAAAAAAAAAAAAAAAAGAAGAAGAAAGACUCAACCCGUUCUGCCUGUCCUCUAAUCCUCAUCCCUCAUCUCUAUCAUCUCUAGAGCUAUUACCAAAUGUUUUCAUUAAUGGAAUAACUUGCUGCUCUGGGCCACCAGUAUUAGCAAAUAUAUGGGUUCCAAUUGGUUUAAAAUAGUAUAUUAAAUUACAAGUCAAAACAACUUUGAUCUGGAUUGUAACUCAAGAGAAUUGUUAAUGUUUUGAAAAGAUCUGGGGCCCAUGCAUAUGAAAGGUUCAUUCUGGUUAGGGAUUUGUGGUCCAAUUUGCUUCCAAGCCCUGGUAGGAAUGCAUCAACCCCUCA